AGAGAGAGACAUGCGCGCAUAUCAAUAAGCGGAGGAAAAGAAACUAACAAGGAUUCCCUUAGUAACGGCGAGUGAAGCGGGAAGAGCUCAAAUUUGAAAUCUUCAAGGGUUCUACCUUUACGAAUUGUAGUUUAUAGAAGUGUUUUCUGUUAGUGGAGUGGCAAAAGUUCUUUGGAAUAGGACAUCAUAGAGGGUGAGAAUCCCGUAUUUGGUCAUUCCUCCUAGCGUUGUGAUACACUUUCAACGAGUCGGAUUGUUUGGGAAUGCAGUCCAAAAUGGGUGGUAAAUUUCAUCUAAAGCUAAAUAUCGGCGAGAGACCGAUAGCGAACAAGUACCGUGAGGGAAAGAUGAAAAGAACUUUGAAAAGAGAGUUAAACAGUACGUGAAAUUGUCAAAGGGAAGCGUUUGACACCAGUGUUGUUUUUCCGAAAAUCAAUUACGAAUGUUUUAUUUUUGAGGAGUUAUGACUUCAUCGGCUUGCUCCUUUCUUUAUGAAACUUUCUUAAUGCACUUUUCGGUUAACAAGUCAACAUCAAUUUCUUUUGUUGUAAAAGGGUAUGAGGAAGGUGGCUUUCUUUUCGGAGAAAGUGUUUAUAGCCUCGUGCCUCUGCAAUCGGAGAGAUUGAGGUCUGCAGCGUAGAUCCUUCGGGGUUAGAUACAUUUGUGCUAAGUUAUAGCUUUUCAUAGACAACUUGUUGACUAUGUUUAGUCUCGUAGCUUACUCGCUUAUGCUAUUUUACCUACGCUUAGGAUGUUGAUAGUCACAGCGUGUAC
RNAcentral lists this ribosomal RNA (774 nucleotides) under uncultured Neocallimastigales. Its description in RNAcentral is "partial large subunit ribosomal RNA". It matches the Rfam family "Eukaryotic large subunit ribosomal RNA", at positions 23 to 644 of the family's 3401-position model. Lineage: Eukaryota; Fungi; Neocallimastigomycota; Neocallimastigomycetes; Neocallimastigales. The record is from RNAcentral.